UUUAUGAUGACCAGCUCCAUCUUGAAAAGACAUGAUGCUUGUUGAUACACCUUCACUGCCUGAUC
RNAcentral lists this small nucleolar RNA (65 nucleotides) under Euglena gracilis. RNAcentral's name for it is "Eg-m130 box C/D methylation-guide". Lineage: Eukaryota; Euglenozoa; Euglenophyceae; Euglenales; Euglenaceae. The record is from RNAcentral.